Sarcophilus harrisii (Tasmanian devil) is the source of this 737-nucleotide long non-coding RNA. RefSeq lists it as uncharacterized. The record is from RefSeq and is a predicted model, not a curated record. Lineage: Eukaryota; Metazoa; Chordata; Mammalia; Dasyuromorphia; Dasyuridae. The transcript is spliced from 3 exons.
UCUUAAGUUAUGACUAUUAUAGUCAAAACUGCCUUUUCUCUAUGAAGAGACAGAGUGAUGAAGGGGAGGGCUGAAUGUCUUUCAUUUGUUGCUGCAUCUGAUCCACCUUUUCAUCUGGCAGCAAAUGAGCACUCCUAACAGAAAGCAUUCAUCAAAGGGAUAAUUCUCCUCCCCCUCUGAAAUUAUGCAGCUUUUGUUGUCAUUGGAGCUGGGUGGUUAUUGAACUUUGCAGACCUGCUGAGCCCAAAGAGUGAGAACACCAUCCAAAGUCAGCAGGGUGAUACUGUGUGCUUCAGAGAUAUGGCUUGUGCAACGGAAGGCACUGGCGGUUGCUAUGGCAUUGUGACACCAAGAUCAUUCCUUAUGAAUGUUGCUGUGACUAAAGUGGUUUAUGAGUCAAAAGACUCAUGGAACUCCUUAAGAAGAAAAGAUGAUUGCACCUCAAUGGGAUAUGGGAAAAGGACUAAGGGAGAUAAGCCUCUGAAUGUGAGAUAGAGAGGACAGGAUGAGUAAACUGACAUGUUAUUUGUCACUGCAGGAUGAAAUGCUUGUCUUUGAGAACAGCUGGCUGCCUAUCUUUGUAUCUCUAAUGCCUAACCCAGUGCCCAGCACUUAAAAAAUGCUGGCAGACUUGAUUGGUUGAUUGAUUGAUUGAUGACAGAUAAAAGCCUUGAUGUUCACAGGCUGAAAUCCACCAUUGAGGGCUGAGGAAUCAAUGAUAUCAGACUCAAAAUCCC